GACGAACCGAGCGAACGUUGUUCGGAAUCACUGGGCUUAAAGGGCGCGUAGGCGGGCAUCAUAGUCUGUGGUGAAAUCCGGCAGCUUAACUGUCGAAUUGCCAUGGAUACUGGGUGUCUCGAGGGAGGCAGGGGUGCGCGGAACUGAUGGUGGAGCGGUGAAAUGCGUUGAUAUCAUCAGGAACGCCGGUGGCGAAGGCGGCGCACUGGUCCUUUUCUGACGCUGAGGCGCGAAAGCCAGGGGAGCAAACGGG
Molecule: ribosomal RNA, 253 nt
Filed under: uncultured bacterium
Lineage: Bacteria
Description: partial 16S ribosomal RNA
Rfam family: Bacterial small subunit ribosomal RNA
Source: RNAcentral